This 27-nucleotide non-coding RNA is filed under the name Cricetulus griseus (Chinese hamster). Lineage: Eukaryota; Metazoa; Chordata; Mammalia; Rodentia; Cricetidae. The record is from RNAcentral.
UGGGGCUUCUUCAAAAAAUAUUUUCAG